AAAACUUUUAAUAAUAAAUCUCUUAGUUCUAACAUUAAUAAAAAACGUAAUAAAAUAUAAUAAGUAAUAUAAAUUAUAGAAUUUAGUAAAUUAUUAAAUCUUUAAACGCACAUUGCGCUUACUAAUAUUCUAGUAAGUAUACUUAUUCGAAUAUUAUUUCAACUAUUAAGCUCUACUUACGUUAGGGAUCCGUAGCUAUCCGUAGUCCUUUAAAAUUAAUAGCGGGUUUAUUAAUUAUAUUGAGUAUAGUAAUUCUAUAUUAUUAUAAUUAUAUAGCGGGUUCUUACUAUAAAACCCCCUAUUUUUAAAAUUGACCUCGGAUUAGGUAGGAAUACCCGCUGAAUUUAAGUAUAUUAAUAAGUAGAAGAAAAAAAAUUAAUAGGGAUUACCUUAAUAAUAGCGAAUAAAAUAGUAAUAGUUCAAAUUUGAAAUCUAGCUUCGGCCCGAAUUAUAAUUUGUAAAAGAAGCUUUUAGUAAGGCACUUUCUAAAUCCCCUAGAACGGAGCGCUAUAGAGGGUGAGAGCCCUAUAUAAUUGGAUGCCAAUCUAAUAUAAAGCUCCUUUAAUAAAUCGAAUAGUUUAGGAAUAUUAUUUAAAAUAGGAGGUAAAUUUCUUUUAAAGCUAAAUACCGGCUAGAGAUUAAUAGUAUAUAAGUAGAGUAAUUAAAAAAUGAAAAGUACUUUAAAAAGAGGGUUAAAUAGUAUAUGAAAUUAUUAAAAGGAAAGUGUUUAUAAUUAGAUUUAUACUGUUUUAAUUAUUUAGUAUUCUUAUUAGUAUAUUUAGGACGGUUUAAACUAAUAUUAGUUUUAGUAGGGGGAUAAAGGUUUAGGGAAUAUAACUCCUCUAGGAAUAUUAUAGCCCUAGGCGUAAUACCUUUACUAGAACUGAAGUUCGUAUAUUUAUAAGAAUACUAGUAUAAUAAUUAUUAAUAACCCGUUUUAAAAUACAGACUAAGGAAUUAAAGUUUUACGCAAGUAUUUAGGUAUAAAACCCGUACGUAUAAUAAAAGUAAAUGUAGGUGAGAGCUUCGGUAUAUUAUUAAUUAAUUCUAAUAUAUUUAGAUAAAUUUAAAUAAGAAUAUUAAACCUUAAACCCGAAAAAUAAUAAACUAUACUUAGAUAGGGUAAAGCUAGAAGAAACUCUAAUAGAGGCUCGCAACGGUUCUAACGUACAAAUCGAUUGUUAAAUCUAAGUAUGGGGGCGAAAGACUAAUUGAACUAUCUAAUAGCUAAUUACCGCCGAAGUUUCCCUUAAGAUAAUAAUAUUAUUCUUCAAUUUUAUAAGGUAAAGCGAAUAAUUAGGGACUCGGGGGCGCUUUUUAGCCUUCAUCCAUUCUUAAACUUUAAAUAUAUAAGAAGCCCUUAUUAUUUAAUUAAAUAUAGGUAUUCGAAUAUAUUAAUACUAAUAGGCUAUUUUUAAUAAGUAGAACUAGUAAUACGGAAUAAACCGAACGUAGGGUUAAAGUACUAGAGUAAAUACUUAUUAAAUACUAUAAAAAGCGUUAGUAUAUUUUAAUAAUAGGACGGUGGCUAUAGAAAUCGGAAUUUGCUAAGGACUAUAUAAUAAUUUACUUACCGAAUAUACUAGCUUUGAAAAUAAAUAGUACUUAAACGUCCUACUUAUACCCCGCCCUUAAAGUAGAAACGAUAUUCUAAAGAGUAGGCGGCUAUAGAGGUUAGUAACGAAGCCUAGGGCGUAAGCCCGGGUCGAACGGCCUUUAAUAUAAAUUUUAAUAGUAGUAAUAAAUAUUUUAAUAAGAAUUUAAAGGACUAAAGUAGGGAAAGGUUCUAUAUAAAUAGCGGUUGGAUAUAGGUUAAUUAAUCUUAAACUAUAGGGAAGUUCCGUUUUAAAGGGGUAUUUAUACUCUAUAUAGCGAAAGGGAAGCCGGUUAAUAUUCCGGUACCUAAAUAUAGGUUUUACGCGGUAAUGUAAUUAAAUAUAGAAACGAUAGCGGAGGCCCCAGGUAAAAUUCUCUUUUCUUUUUAAUAGUCUAUUACCCUAAAAAUAAUUUAUUUAGAGAUAGGGUUUAAUAGCCGGAAGAGCCCAAUAUUUCUAUUGGGUCCAGUACGUUUUUAAUAUCCCUUAAAAAUCCGUAGGAGGGAAUAAUUCUUAUAUUAAGUUAUAUUUAUAAUUAUAGUAGGUCUUUAAAGUGAAUAGCUUCUAAUUAAUAGAAUAAUAUAGAUAAGGGAAGUUAGUAAAAUAGAUUUAUAAUUUUAGGAAAAGGAUUAAUUCUAAGGGUUAAGUACGUCGGGCUUUAGGUAAACGCCCUAAGAGUAGAUUGCUAUUAGUUAGGUAACCGGCCGGUAGCUUUCAAUAUCCGGGUAUAGAAGCUUUUAAUAGACUUCGGUCGUCCGGUGUACGUUUAAUAAUUAAUUUAAAAUUAGUAUAGAUAGGGGGAAUUUAAUUAUCUAAUUAAAAUAUAGUAUUACGAUAGUUAGAAAGUAGUAUUAACGUAAUAUAAUUUCUAUUUAGUAUUUUAAAUAUUAAAAUAAAAAAAUUCAACUAAGCGCGGGUAAAUAGCAGGAAUAACUAUAAUUCUCUUAAAGUAGCCAAAUACUUUAUUAUUUAAUUAGUAACGCAUAUAAAUAGAUUAAUGAGAUUCCUAUUAUCCCUAUUUAUUAUCUAGCGAAACUAUAAUUAAAGGAACGGGCUUAGUAGAAUUAAUGGAGAAAGAAGACCCUAUUAAACUUAAUUUUAGUUUAAUAUUAUAAAAAAAUAUAGGAAGUAUAGAAUAGGUAGGAGCUUCGGCGCCGGUAAAAUACUACUACUCCUAUUGUUUUUUUACUUAUUUAAUUAAGCGGGGCUAGAUUUUUAUUCAACUUCUAAUUUUAAGGUCCUUCGUAGGCUAACCCGGAUUAAAAAUAUUAUUAAGUAGGGAAUUUAGCUAGGGCAGUACAUCUAUUAAACUAUAAUGCAAAUAUCCUAAGGGGGGCUUAUAGAGAAUAAAAAUCUCUAGUAGAACAAAAGGGUAAAAAUCCCCUUAAUUUUAAUUUUUAAUAUAAAUAUAAAUUAUAAAAGUAUAGCCUAUUAAUCCUUUAGUCCCUCGAAAUUUAAAGUUAGAAGUACUAGAAAAAUUACUAUAAGGAUAAUUAACUUAUAAUAGCCAAACGUUUAUAGCAAUAUCGCUUUUUAAUCCUUCAAUAUCAGCUCUUCCUAUUAUACCGAAGUAGAAUUCGGUAAAUAUUAGAUUAUUUACCUAUUAAUAGGGAAUGUAAGCUAAAUUUAGACUAUUAUAAAAUAAAUUAGUUUUACCCUACUAAUAACUUUAUCGCAAUAGUAAUUAAAUUUAGUAUAAAAGGAACUACUUAUUUAAAUAAUUAGUUUUUAUAAUUAUCUAACCGGAUAGUACUAUAACGCUACUAUCUACUAGAUAAUAACUGAACGCCUCUAAAUUAGAAUUUAUAUUAGAAUACGAUAAUACUUUUAGUAUAUUAUAGAUAUAUAAAAAUAAGCUCCGGCUUUGUAUCUUAGUAAGCAAUUCCUCUAUUAGCCUUAAAGUAGCUAGCGGUAAUUCGUAUAUU
RNAcentral lists this ribosomal RNA (3520 nucleotides) under Neurospora crassa OR74A. Its description in RNAcentral is "eukaryotic LSU rRNA". The stretch from base 312 to 3427 matches the Rfam family "Eukaryotic large subunit ribosomal RNA". Lineage: Eukaryota; Fungi; Ascomycota; Sordariomycetes; Sordariales; Sordariaceae. The record is from RNAcentral.